This 112-nucleotide ribosomal RNA is filed under the name Cyprinodon variegatus (sheepshead minnow). Lineage: Eukaryota; Metazoa; Chordata; Actinopteri; Cyprinodontiformes; Cyprinodontidae. The record is from RNAcentral.
UUAGGCAAAAGUAUUAAUGUGUCGACCACCAGUUCUCUACUGCAGCUAAGCAGAGUCUCUUCUGAUUAGUACUGGGAAGGGAAACCGCCUGGGUACAUCUACAAUACCUAAU